Molecule: transfer RNA, 67 nt
Filed under: Marmota monax (woodchuck)
Lineage: Eukaryota; Metazoa; Chordata; Mammalia; Rodentia; Sciuridae
Description: tRNA.Ala
Source: RNAcentral
GGUUGUGGCUCAGUAGUAGAGCAUUUGUCUAGCACGUGUGAGGCCCUGGGUUCGAUCCUCAGCACCA